RNAcentral lists this ribosomal RNA (301 nucleotides) under uncultured bacterium. RNAcentral's name for it is "partial 16S ribosomal RNA". It matches the Rfam family "Bacterial small subunit ribosomal RNA", at positions 509 to 807 of the family's 1533-position model. The record is from RNAcentral.
CAGCAGCCACGGUAAUACGAGGGGCGCAAGCGUUAUUCGGAUUGAUUGGGUGUAAAGGGUGUGCAGACGGCUUAUUAAGUCACUUGUUAAAUUCUUCGGCCUAACUGAAGGUCUGCAAGUGAUACUGAUGAGCUAGAGGGUGGAAGAGAGAAGUGGAAUUCUCGGAGUAGCGGUAAAAUGCGUAGAUCUCGAGAGGAACACCAAUGGCGAAGGCAGCUUCUUGGUCCAUUCCUGACGUUCAUACACGAAAGCGUGGGGAGCAAACGGGAUUAGAUACCCCCGUAGUCCCUGUCUCUUAUAC